This 465-nucleotide ribosomal RNA is filed under the name Vreelandella stevensii. Its description in RNAcentral is "partial 16S ribosomal RNA". It matches the Rfam family "Bacterial small subunit ribosomal RNA", at positions 338 to 795 of the family's 1533-position model. Lineage: Bacteria; Pseudomonadati; Pseudomonadota; Gammaproteobacteria; Oceanospirillales; Halomonadaceae. The record is from RNAcentral.
CCUACGGGGGGCUGCAGUGGGGAAUAUUGGACAAUGGGGGGAACCCUGAUCCAGCCAUGCCGCGUGUGUGAAGAAGGCCCUCGGGUUGUAAAGCACUUUCAGUGAGGAAGAACGCCUGGUGGUUAAUACCCAUCAGGAAAGACAUCACUCACAGAAGAAGCACCGGCUAACUCCGUGCCAGCAGCCACGGUAAUACGGAGGGUGCGAGCGUUAAUCGGAAUUACUGGGCGUAAAGCGCGCGUAGGUGGCUUGAUAAGCCGGUUGUGAAAGCCCCGGGCUCAACCUGGGAACGGCAUCCGGAACUGUCAAGCUAGAGUGCAGGAGAGGAAGGUAGAAUUCCCGGUGUAGCGGUGAAAUGCGUAGAGAUCGGGAGGAAUACCAGUGGCGAAGGCGGCCUUCUGGACUGACACUGACACUGAGGUGCGAAAGCGUGGGUAGCAAACAGGAUUAGAUACCCCUGUAGUC